Otolemur garnettii (small-eared galago) is the source of this 89-nucleotide non-coding RNA. The record is from Rfam. Lineage: Eukaryota; Metazoa; Chordata; Mammalia; Primates; Galagidae.
CCGGGGUGAGGUAGUAAGUUGUAUUGUUGUGGGGUAGGGAUAUUAGACCCCAAUUAGAAGAUAACUAUACAACUUACUACUUUCCCUGG